This 507-nucleotide ribosomal RNA is filed under the name Syllis ypsiloides. RNAcentral describes it as "partial 16S ribosomal RNA". It matches the Rfam family "Bacterial large subunit ribosomal RNA", at positions 1796 to 2607 of the family's 2925-position model. The record is from RNAcentral. Lineage: Eukaryota; Metazoa; Annelida; Polychaeta; Phyllodocida; Syllidae.
UCGCCUGUUUAUCAAAAACAUUGCCUUUAGUAGCCCAACAUUAAAGGUAACUCUGCCCAGUGAAAGUUUUCAACGGCCGCGGUAUCCUGACCGUGCGAAGGUAGCACAAUAAUGAGCCUCCUAAUUAGAGGAUGGAAUGAAUGAAUCAACGAAAAAGAUACUGUCUCAUGAUUACAAAUUGAAAUUUAUUUAUGGGUGAAAAAGCCCAUAUAUUAAUUAAAGACAAGAAGACCCUAUAAGCUUUUUAAAAUUUAACAACCCCAUCUAAAAUUUUAUUUGGUUGGGGCGACCAAAAGAAUAAAACACUUAUCAUAAACAUAGAGACAUAUCUCUCAUAUAAUUAGCCAUAAACAUAUAAGCAAGUUACUGUAGGGAUAACAGGCUAAUAUUUCCCAAGAGUACGCAUCAACAGAAAUGAUUGGCACCUCGAUGUUGGCUUAGGGUAUCUACUUCAUGCAGAAGUGAAGUAAGAAGGUUUGUUCAACCAUUAAUCCCCUACAUGAUCUG